GCCAAACUUCUUCAACAUACUAAUGAACCUUUCGCAAUAUGGGGGAUUCCACUCCAUGGUUUUAAAUAUCAAUUGUUUCAGACCGAUUCAACUGAUUCCAUUACACUGUUUUCGAUUCUGUUAUUUAAUACCUAAUCUGCUAAGAGUUUUGAAAAAUUCACAGGAUUGGCAGCUGAUUCAGUCUGAUUUCAUUACCCUGUUUCCAAUUCCGAAACCAACUCCUAUUCUGUUAUUUGAAGCCCUGUUCCAGUCAAGGACUAGAAAAAAACAUGUGCUGUAAACUCGUUCAUAAAAGAACAUAUGCACCAGGAUAUGAUAUGCCAGUUUUUAAUUUGAUUUCAUAUGAUUUUAAUUUUUUAAUUAUUGGUUUUAUGCUUAUAAAGCCCAUUAACCAAAUCCUUGUUUAUCACCAAAUUUUCAUUGUUUAAAUUAGGAAAAUAAUUGCUAUUCUUUAAGGGAAAAAAUUUAAAAGAUGCCUAUUUGACGUAUUUCUUUAAUGAAAAUUAUGCAGUGGAAAAACCACUCAACAGUAUCCAAAAUUUUCCUACACUGACUUAAUGGAAUCUAUUAUUUAUCAACACAGGCUCAUUCUGUAUUGUAGCAUUAAUUGCGUAAAUGAUCUUUUAUUUUAAACUAUUUGAGUUUGUUUCUAUAUUAUUUUUGUCAUAGAAGUGUGGUGAUUGUAUAAUUUCUUGUAUUAUUGUUUACUUCAUCAAAUUUCCCAUGUGCAGACUAAUAGAAUAUCAAAGAACA
RNAcentral lists this unclassified non-coding RNA (753 nucleotides) under Hevea brasiliensis (rubber tree). Lineage: Eukaryota; Viridiplantae; Streptophyta; Magnoliopsida; Malpighiales; Euphorbiaceae. The record is from RNAcentral.